AUACGUAGGUGGCAAGCGUUGUCCGGAUUUAUUGGGCGUAAAGCGAGCGCAGGCGGUUUCUUAAGUCUGAUGUGAAAGCCCCCGGCUCAACCGGGGAGGGUCAUUGGAAACUGGGAGACUUGAGUGUAGAAGAGGAGAGUGGAAUUCCAUGUGUAGCGGUGAAAUGCGUAGAUAUAUGGAGGAACACCAGUGGCGAAGGCGACUCUCUGGUCUGUAACUGACGCUGAGGCUCGAAAGCGUGGGGAGCAAACAGGAUUAGAUACCCUGGUAGUCCACGCCGUAAACGAUGAGUGCUAAGUGUUGGAGGGUUUCCGCCCUUCAGUGCUGCAGCUAACGCAUUAAGCACUCCGCCUGGGGAGUACGACCGCAAGGUUGAAACUCAAAUGAAUUGACGGGG
RNAcentral lists this ribosomal RNA (397 nucleotides) under uncultured bacterium. Its description in RNAcentral is "partial 16S ribosomal RNA". It matches the Rfam family "Bacterial small subunit ribosomal RNA", at positions 523 to 918 of the family's 1533-position model. The record is from RNAcentral.